AGUAAGGAAUAUUGGUCAAUGGGCGGAAGCCUGAACCAGCCAUCCCGCGUGCAGGAUGACUGCCCUAUGGGUUGUAAACUGCUUUUAUCUGGGAAUAAACCACUCUAUUAAUGGGGUGUUGAAGGUACCAGAAGAAUAAGCACCGGCUAACUCCGUGCCAGCAGCCGCGGUAAUACGGAGGGUGCAAGCGUUAUCCGGAAUCACUGGGUUUAAAGGGUGCGUAGGCGGCCAUGUAAGUCAGAGGUGAAAGGCUACAGCUUAACUGUGGAAUUGCCUUUGAUACUGUGUGGCUUGAAUAAGGAUGAGGUUGGCGGAAUGUGACAUGUAGCGGUGAAAUGCAUAGAUAUGUCAUAGAACACCAAUUGCGAAGGCAGCUAACUGGGCCUUUAUUGACGCUGAGGCACGAAAGCGUGGGGAUCAAA
Molecule: ribosomal RNA, 422 nt
Filed under: uncultured Saprospiraceae bacterium
Lineage: Bacteria; Pseudomonadati; Bacteroidota; Saprospiria; Saprospirales; Saprospiraceae
Description: bacterial SSU rRNA
Rfam family: Bacterial small subunit ribosomal RNA
Source: RNAcentral